GGCUACUGAUCUGAUGCUCCUGAAGAGUGUGAGUGUGUGAGAGGAGAGAGAUAGAGAGUGAGAAGGGGAGACAGACAGAAAGAGAGAGGGAGAAAGGGAGAGAGAGACAGAGAGAUGCAAUCAGAAAGAAAAAGCUAGUGGGAGCAGUAGGACAAUCAGCACCACUGUCUACUGAGACCAUCAGGGCAUCUGAGGCAGGGGGACAAUAGGUGUGGGAAGUCGUCUGAAGCGUCUCAUCUACAUCUGCAUGGUGAGCAUCUGCUGGUAUUUCAGGAAAACAAUAAGUGGUGGAGCUGUCGGGUGGGGCGAGUCAGCUGGUGUUGUGAAUCAGGCCGCCACAGUAAGAGGGCACGGCUUCUUCACAACACCAGGGUCACACCCUUCCACACACAGCGCCAGAAAACACACAGCCACUCACACUGCUGAUGGUCCAGGAAUGAGGCCUACAAGGGCAAUGUUUCUUAACUACCACACCCAGACUACUAAGCGGAGCAGUAAGAUGUCACAAGAAGAUAUCAUGAUAAAGAACUAAGACACUGUAAGGCUUCACUGUGAGGUCACAUACAGAUUUUGGAUUUAGUUUAUAUUUGUAUAUAGCUUCAUACUUGGUAGUAUGUGUUCAGAUUAAAAAAGAAUCCUAUGCCUAUGUAUAUUUUAAUAGUAUAUAUUUUAGAGAAAAAAAAACUAUACAAUAGAGUCUUCAAAAUAAAAAAAGACAAU
Electrophorus electricus (electric eel) is the source of this 720-nucleotide long non-coding RNA. RefSeq lists it as uncharacterized. The record is from RefSeq and is a predicted model, not a curated record. NCBI's taxonomy places the organism in Eukaryota, Metazoa, Chordata, Actinopteri, Gymnotiformes, Gymnotidae.